RNAcentral lists this long non-coding RNA (836 nucleotides) under Bos taurus (domestic cattle). RNAcentral's name for it is "long non-coding RNA NONBTAT020242". Lineage: Eukaryota; Metazoa; Chordata; Mammalia; Artiodactyla; Bovidae. The record is from RNAcentral.
GCCUAAUGAUAUUUAAUUCUGGCAAGCUCCCGCCAAAAAGGUGUCACAACUUGGAUAUGGGUAGGGUCUGAGUAACUUGGCUUCCUUCCAGUAAGAGUAGCUAAUGAAAUCACUGAAAACAGCAUCUUAUAUUAAGUUAUGCUAUUUAAAAAUAAAGUAGAUUGUUGUUAAACUGGCUCAUCAUAACCAUCCAAUAAAACUGAUUACUUAAAUGGAUUAUUUUUAUUUUAGGGGGGAAAGUGUAACAUCCUUUAGAGAGUUUUCGGAUCUUUAACAUUUAUUUAGUAUAAAAUUGCUUCUGCCCAGGUCUUAGCAGAACCAUCUCUGAAUAUCUCAAGUUUCUAAUUCUCUAAAUGCCAUAUUCAGCUGAUUAUUUUAAGUCCUAUGUUUUUUUUCCCUCUGCCCGGCCCCUCACACUGACUUUGGCACCGACCCAUUUUUAUUUCCUGGUCAUAAUCCCAUCUCUGGUCCCUCCAAUUGUCUGACCAUAGCAGCAGUCCCACUCCUGGACUUUCUGCCACUACCUUCAAUAAUUCCAUUAUACAGAUGCCCGAGUCUCCCCCAGAUAUUAUGUUCAAACUGAAUCAAAAUGAAAUUACCCUCCAGGACAAGUAUCCAUUUUGCCUAAAGGACAAAUAGACUCCCACUGACCUUGAUCAUCUUGCACAGUUACAAGAGGUCUUAUUCUGAGAAGUAAUUUCCCAGAUAGAUUGAGCAAAUUUCUGUCCUAGUCACACGAUGAGAGUACACAAUUAUAGAAGCUUCUUCCACACCCAGUGAUGUAAACCGUGUGCCCCCAGGAAGUCACCUGGGUGGCUGGAUUCUGUGCAUGUUUU